GACGAACGCUGGCGGCGUGCUUAACACAUGCAAGUCGAGCGAUGAAGUUCCUUCGGGAACGGAUUAGCGGCGGACGGGUGAGUAACACGUGGGUAACCUGCCUCAUAGAGGGGAAUAGCCUUCCGAAAGGAAGAUUAAUACCGCAUAAGAUUGUAGUUUCGCAUGAAACAGCAAUUAAAGGAGUAAUCCGCUAUGAGAUGGACCCGCGUCGCCUGAGCUAGUUGGUGAGGUAACGGCUCACCAAGGCGACGAUGCGUAGCCGACCUGAGAGGGUGAUCGGCCACAUUGGGACUGAGACACGGCCCAGACUCCUACGGGAGGCAGCAGUGGGGAAUAUUGCACAAUGGGGGAAACCCUGAUGCAGCAACGCCGCGUGAGUGAUGACGGUCUUCGGAUUGUAAAACUCUGUCUUCAGGGACGAUAAUGACGGUACCUGAGGAGGAAGCCACGGCUAACUACGUGCCAGCCGCCGCCGUAA
RNAcentral lists this ribosomal RNA (478 nucleotides) under uncultured bacterium. Its description in RNAcentral is "partial 16S ribosomal RNA". It matches the Rfam family "Bacterial small subunit ribosomal RNA", at positions 28 to 523 of the family's 1533-position model. The record is from RNAcentral.